RNAcentral lists this ribosomal RNA (456 nucleotides) under Salmonella enterica subsp. enterica serovar Saintpaul. RNAcentral's name for it is "bacterial LSU rRNA". It matches the Rfam family "Bacterial large subunit ribosomal RNA", at positions 1142 to 1575 of the family's 2925-position model. The record is from RNAcentral. Lineage: Bacteria; Pseudomonadati; Pseudomonadota; Gammaproteobacteria; Enterobacterales; Enterobacteriaceae.
UGCGGCAGCGAACGUAUCACCCAAGACAACUUUACGGAGUUGACGAUUGACGGAGCGAAGCGACGUCAAAGCGUAUAUUAAAGUCGAGUCGGUUUAAGGAUACGUUGUUGGGUAGGGGAGCGUUCUGUAAGCCUGUGAAGGUGGCCUGUGAGGGUUGCUGGAGGUAUCAGAAGUGCGAAUGCUGACAUAAGUAACGAUAAAGCGGGUGAAAAGCCCGCUCGCCGGAAGACCAAGGGUUCCUGUCCAACGUUAAUCGGGGCAGGGUGAGUCGACCCCUAAGGCGAGGCCGAAAGGCGUAGUCGAUGGGAAACGGGUUAAUAUUCCCGUACUUGGUGUUACUGCGAAGGGGGGACGGAGAAGGCUAUGUUGGCCGGGCGACGGUUGUCCCGGUUUAAGCGUGUAGGCUGGUUUUCCAGGCAAAUCCGGAAAAUCAAGGCUGAGGCGUGACGACGAGGC